RNAcentral lists this ribosomal RNA (108 nucleotides) under Sinocyclocheilus grahami. The record is from RNAcentral. Lineage: Eukaryota; Metazoa; Chordata; Actinopteri; Cypriniformes; Cyprinidae.
GAUAGCAGCCAUAUCACCCUGUAGCCCAAGACUGGUUGCCCACUGAAGCUAAGCAGGGCUGGGUUAGUACCUGGGUGGGAGACCUCCUGGGAAAACCAGGUGCUGUUG